GAUGAACGCUGGCGGCGUGCCUAAUACAUGCAAGUCGAGCGAACAGACGAGGAGCUUGCUCCUCUGACGUUAGCGGCGGACGGGUGAGUAACACGUGGAUAACCUACCUAUAAGACUGGGAUAACUUCGGGAAACCGGAGCUAAUACCGGAUAAUAUAUUGAACCACAUGGUUCAAUAGUGAAAGACGGUUUUGCUGUCACUUAUAGAUGGAUCCGCGCCGCAUUAGCUAGUUGGUAAGGUAACGGCUUACCAAGGCAACGAUGCGUAGCCGACCUGAGAGGGUGAUCGGCCACACUGGAACUGAGACACGGUCCAGACUCCUACGGGAGGCAGCAGUAGGGAAUCUUACGCAAUGGGCGAAAGCAUGACGGAGCAACGCCGCGUGAGUGAUGAAGGUCUUCGGAUCGUAAAACUCUGUUAUUAGGGAAGAACAAAUGUGUAAGUAACUAUGCACGUCUUGACGGUACCUAAUCAGAAAGCCACGGCUAACUACGUG
RNAcentral lists this ribosomal RNA (497 nucleotides) under uncultured bacterium. RNAcentral's name for it is "partial 16S ribosomal RNA". It matches the Rfam family "Bacterial small subunit ribosomal RNA", at positions 28 to 507 of the family's 1533-position model. The record is from RNAcentral.